RNAcentral lists this ribosomal RNA (377 nucleotides) under uncultured eukaryote. RNAcentral's name for it is "SSU rRNA". It matches the Rfam family "Eukaryotic small subunit ribosomal RNA", at positions 587 to 972 of the family's 1831-position model. The record is from RNAcentral.
AGCUCCAGUAGCGUAUAUUAAAGUUGUUGCAGUUAAAAAGCUCGUAGUCGAACCUCGGGCGCGGAGCACGGGCCUGGCACUGCCAGCGCUUGUGCGCCGCGCCUUUCUGCGGGCGAGCCCGCGUGCGCUUAACUGAGUGUGCGGGUAAGCCCGCACUUUUACUGUGAAAAAAUUAGAGUGUUCAAAGCAGGCGCAUGCCGUGAAUACACUAGCAUGGAAUAAUAGAAUAGGACUUGGGUUCUAUUUUGUUGGUUUCUAGGACCGAAGUAAUGAUUAAUAGGGAUAGUUGGGGGCAUUCGUAUUCCACUGUCAGAGGUGAAAUUCUUGGAUUUGUGGAAGACGAACAGCUGCGAAAGCGUCUGCCAAGGAUGUUUUCA